Glycine soja is the source of this 1467-nucleotide long non-coding RNA. RefSeq lists it as uncharacterized. Lineage: Eukaryota; Viridiplantae; Streptophyta; Magnoliopsida; Fabales; Fabaceae. The transcript is spliced from 2 exons. The record is from RefSeq and is a predicted model, not a curated record.
GUGCACAACACUAAUGCGUCCCUUCCCUCUUCUCUCCAAACACUCAUCUUGUUUUUGUUAGAUUCAAUAGAAGACAAAUGACCGACCCCCAUUCUUGGAUCCUCGACUGUGAUUUCCUUUGAUUAAUUAAGGUGCCAUUCAAGUGUCAUUAAGAACAGAAGGAUGCUAAAAUUUGUGGAGUAGUGGAGUCAUUCUUUUCAUGCCUUUGAGAAUAUAAUUCAGUUGCAUGACGAGUUAAAUGUGGAGUGGUGUCACCCUUGUGCUUUUGAGAAUUUGAGAACAAUUCAGUUACAUGAUGAACUAGAAUUAGACUUUUGUAGUACACCAAAAAAAUAAAAGAAUUAUUUUUGUAAAAUCCAGUAAUUUUUUUACCAUACUGACUUAAAGGUCUCUAUAUGAUUAUCAUUGUUUACCUGCACAACACGGAUUAGGGGAUCCACUGAAUAAUUAAACUCACUAUAAUAAGGCUCACUUCAGAGGAUUCUAAUCUGCGCAACAUUAUCUUCAACAUUCCUGAUCUUUAGUUCUCUGCAUUACUAGAGGUUUUGUUUUGUCUUACCUAUGCCACACAACUCAGAGUACUAAUAUUCACCAUUGUAUAUCACAUCUAGUGUAGACACAAAGGUUCCACCAUGGGAAACAUUCCCAGUGGCAAUUACUCUGAGCGGUUUCCUCUUGAUGAUUCCUCCGUGGCUGUCCUACUCAAAACAAAUAGCCUCAAAGGGUCUGAUGAAGAAGUUAUGGAAACUUUGGAGUGCAGAGUACUUCUCAUUUGGAAGGACAACCAGCGAACUAGAAUUGACCAAAACCAACUACAGCAGCAAGCACGAACAAGAGUGGGUCCAUCACAAUCCUUGAUCACGCAUCAAGCCAUGAAAAAAAGAACCUUCAUUUUCAGAUGAACAUGAGAGUCGAAGAUCAAGGUCUUCUUUUAGCAAACAUUAGUCUAGAUGGACCAAAGUGAAUGCAGCAACUUCCAGAGAAGAGAAGCCCUAUUGAGCAAGGCGGGGUUCUCAAGUCCUACUCCUUCUUUUAUGGACGUGACAGUGGCCGAAAGAAUCUUAUAGUCACCUUGAGGACAAAGAGAAGUGAUGAUGAUGAAAUGCUUCCUUACAUGAUCACUGUCAAGCACUAUUUUGUGCCUGCAUCUUGUUCUCAUGGUGUUUUCUCUCUUGUAACAAAGAUUCGCAGUGAUAGCGGUGACAAGGGUGAUGGAGGUGCCCAAACGUUCCAUCCUGACCAUGUUUGAUGAUGCCAAAGGAAAAGGGUGGGGACCUAAUCUUAGUAUUUCUGAUUGUACAAUUGAAUUUUCUAAUUCUAACCAAAACAAUAGUGCUGUGAUUAGCAGUAGUGGGAGCAAUAACAAUCCUUCAAAAACCAAUCCUAUGUAUGCUUGCUUUUUAUGUAUAUGUAACUUCACAAGAGAUGAAUGAGAAAAAUGUGAUUCGAAUCAAAGAUUCCACUGAA